RNAcentral lists this ribosomal RNA (1374 nucleotides) under uncultured bacterium. RNAcentral describes it as "bacterial SSU rRNA". It matches the Rfam family "Bacterial small subunit ribosomal RNA", at positions 28 to 1381 of the family's 1533-position model. The record is from RNAcentral.
GAUGAACGCUGGCGGCGUGCCUAAUACAUGCAAGUCGAGCGAACGGACGAGGAGCUUGCUUCUCUGAUGUUAGCGGCGGACGGGUGAGUAACACGUGGAUAACCUACCUAUAAGACUGGGAUAACUUCGGGAAACCGGAGCUAAUACCGGAUGAUAUUUUGAACCGCAUGGUUCAAAAGUGAAAGACGGUCUUGCUGUCACUUAUAGAUGGAUCCGCGCUGCAUUAGCUAGUUGGUAAGGUAACGGCUUACCAAGGCAACGAUGCAUAGCCGACCUGAGAGGGUGAUCGGCCACACUGGAACUGAGACACGGUCCAGACUCCUACGGGAGGCAGCAGUAGGGAAUCUUCCGCAAUGGGCGAAAGCCUGACGGAGCAACGCCGCGUGAGUGAUGAAGGUCUUCGGAUCGUAAAACUCUGUUAUUAGGGAAGAACAUAUGUGUAAGUAACUGUGCACAUCUUGACGGUACCUAAUCAGAAAGCCACGGCUAACUACGUGCCAGCAGCCGCGGUAAUACGUAGGUGGCAAGCGUUAUCCGGAAUUAUUGGGCGUAAAGCGCGCGUAGGCGGUUUUUUAAGUCUGAUGUGAAAGCCCACGGCUCAACCGUGGAGGGUCAUUGGAAACUGGAAAACUUGAGUGCAGAAGAGGAAAGUGGAAUUCCAUGUGUAGCGGUGAAAUGCGCAGAGAUAUGGAGGAACACCAGUGGCGAAGGCGACUUUCUGGUCUGUAACUGACGCUGAUGUGCGAAAGCGUGGGGAUCAAACAGGAUUAGAUACCCUGGUAGUCCACGCCGUAAACGAUGAGUGCUAAGUGUUAGGGGGUUUCCGCCCCUUAGUGCUGCAGCUAACGCAUUAAGCACUCCGCCUGGGGAGUACGACCGCAAGGUUGAAACUCAAAGGAAUUGACGGGGACCCGCACAAGCGGUGGAGCAUGUGGUUUAAUUCGAAGCAACGCGAAGAACCUUACCAAAUCUUGACAUCCUUUGACAACUCUAGAGAUAGAGCCUUCCCCUUCGGGGGGGACAAAGUGACAGGUGGUGCAUGGUUGUCGUCAGCUCGUGUCGUGAGAUGUUGGGUUAAGUCCCGCAACGAGCGCAACCCUUAAGCUUAGUUGCCAUCAUUAAGUUGGGCACUCUAAGUUGACUGCCGGUGACAAACCGGAGGAAGGUGGGGAUGACGUCAAAUCAUCAUGCCCCUUAUGAUUUGGGCUACACACGUGCUACAAUGGACAAUACAAAGGGCAGCGAAACCGCGAGGUCAAGCAAAUCCCAUAAAGUUGUUCUCAGUUCGGAUUGUAGUCUGCAACUCGACUACAUGAAGCUGGAAUCGCUAGUAAUCGUAGAUCAGCAUGCUACGGUGAAUACGUUCCCGGGUCU